This 301-nucleotide ribosomal RNA is filed under the name uncultured bacterium. RNAcentral describes it as "partial 16S ribosomal RNA". It matches the Rfam family "Bacterial small subunit ribosomal RNA", at positions 509 to 809 of the family's 1533-position model. The record is from RNAcentral.
CAGCAGCCGCGGGAAUACGAAGGGGGCUAGCGUUGUUCGGAUUUACUGGGCGUAAAGCGCACGUAGGCGGAUCCUUAGGUCAGAGGUGAAAUCCCAAAGCUCAACCUUGGAACUGCCUUUGAUACUGGGGAUCUCGAGUUCGGGAGAGGUGAGUGGAACUGCGAGUGUAGAGGUGAAAUUCGUAGAUAUUCGCAAGAACACCAGUGGCGAAGGCGGCUCACUGGCCCGAUACUGACGCUGAGGUGCGAAAGCGUGGGGAGCAAACAGGAUUAGAUACCCCCGUAGUCCCUGUCUCUUAUAA